Molecule: transfer RNA, 65 nt
Filed under: Stenischia humilis
Lineage: Eukaryota; Metazoa; Arthropoda; Insecta; Siphonaptera; Hystrichopsyllidae
Description: tRNA-Glu
Source: RNAcentral
AUUUAUAUAGUUUAUAUAAAACAUUACAUUUUCAUUGUAAAGUAAAGAUUAUUUCUUUUUAAAUA